UCUUGGGGGACUUGGGGCCAGCGGCAGCGGCCUUCUCGGCCCUCUCGGCGGCCUUCUUGGGGAGGAGGACGGGGUUGAUGUUGGGCAGCACACCGCCGUGCGCGAUGGUGACCCCGCCCAGCAGCUUGCCGAGCUCCUCGUUGUUGCGGAUAGCGAGGAGGAGGUGGCGCGGGAUGAUGCGGGUCUUCUUGUUGUGGCGCGCAUCAGCAUUCACAUUUUUCUUUUUUUAUUGCAUAACUGUUACUCAGAUCUUCAAUUAUCGAACCUUUCAUGGCUAAAUCUAGAAAAAUGGAACCCUUAUCUAUGCCUGGUG
This 313-nucleotide unclassified non-coding RNA is filed under the name Zea mays. Its description in RNAcentral is "misc RNA Zm00001eb266510". Lineage: Eukaryota; Viridiplantae; Streptophyta; Magnoliopsida; Poales; Poaceae. The record is from RNAcentral.